This is a non-coding RNA of Acanthosepion pharaonis, 113 nucleotides long. The record is from the annotation of a GenBank genome assembly. Lineage: Eukaryota; Metazoa; Mollusca; Cephalopoda; Sepiida; Sepiidae.
UACGGCCACAAUACGCUGAAACACCAGUUCCCGUUUGAUCACCGAAGUUAAACAACAUCGAGACUGGUCAGUACUCAGAUGGGUGACUGUUUUGGAAUAUCAAAUGCUGUCAG